RNAcentral lists this ribosomal RNA (1148 nucleotides) under Akkermansia muciniphila. RNAcentral's name for it is "bacterial SSU rRNA". It matches the Rfam family "Bacterial small subunit ribosomal RNA", at positions 362 to 1520 of the family's 1533-position model. Lineage: Bacteria; Pseudomonadati; Verrucomicrobiota; Verrucomicrobiia; Verrucomicrobiales; Akkermansiaceae. The record is from RNAcentral.
UCAUUCACAAUGGGGGAAACCCUGAUGGUGCGACGCCGCGUGGGGGAAUGAAGGUCUUCGGAUUGUAAACCCCUGUCAUGUGGGAGCAAAUUAAAAAGAUAGUACCACAAGAGGAAGAGACGGCUAACUCUGUGCCAGCAGCCGCGGUAAUACAGAGGUCUCAAGCGUUGUUCGGAAUCACUGGGCGUAAAGCGUGCGUAGGCUGUUUCGUAAGUCGUGUGUGAAAGGCGCGGGCUCAACCCGCGGACGGCACAUGAUACUGCGAGACUAGAGUAAUGGAGGGGGAACCGGAAUUCUCGGUGUAGCAGUGAAAUGCGUAGAUAUCGAGAGGAACACUCGUGGCGAAGGCGGGUUCCUGGACAUUAACUGACGCUGAGGCACGAAGGCCAGGGGAGCGAAAGGGAUUAGAUACCCCUGUAGUCCUGGCAGUAAACGGUGCACGCUUGGUGUGCGGGGAAUCGACCCCCUGCGUGCCGGAGCUAACGCGUUAAGCGUGCCGCCUGGGGAGUACGGUCGCAAGAUUAAAACUCAAAGAAAUUGACGGGGACCCGCACAAGCGGUGGAGUAUGUGGCUUAAUUCGAUGCAACGCGAAGAACCUUACCUGGGCUUGACAUGUAAUGAACAACAUGUGAAAGCAUGCGACUCUUCGGAGGCGUUACACAGGUGCUGCAUGGCCGUCGUCAGCUCGUGUCGUGAGAUGUUUGGUUAAGUCCAGCAACGAGCGCAACCCCUGUUGCCAGUUACCAGCACGUGAAGGUGGGGACUCUGGCGAGACUGCCCAGAUCAACUGGGAGGAAGGUGGGGACGACGUCAGGUCAGUAUGGCCCUUAUGCCCAGGGCUGCACACGUACUACAAUGCCCAGUACAGAGGGGGCCGAAGCCGCGAGGCGGAGGAAAUCCUAAAAACUGGGCCCAGUUCGGACUGUAGGCUGCAACCCGCCUACACGAAGCCGGAAUCGCUAGUAAUGGCGCAUCAGCUACGGCGCCGUGAAUACGUUCCCGGGUCUUGUACACACCGCCCGUCACAUCAUGGAAGCCGGUCGCACCCGAAGUAUCUGAAGCCAACCGCAAGGAGGCAGGGUCCUAAGGUGAGACUGGUAACUGGGAUGAAGUCGUAACAAGGUAGCCGUAGGGGAACCUGCGGCUG